This 309-nucleotide ribosomal RNA is filed under the name uncultured bacterium. RNAcentral's name for it is "bacterial SSU rRNA". It matches the Rfam family "Bacterial small subunit ribosomal RNA", at positions 28 to 334 of the family's 1533-position model. The record is from RNAcentral.
GACGAACGCUGGCGGCGUGCCUAACACAUGCAAGUCGAGCGGAGAGGAGAAAGCUUGCUUUCGAAUCUUAGCGGCGGACGGGUGAGUAACGCGUGAGCAACCUGCCUUUCACUGGGGGAUAACGCAUCGAAAGAUGUGCUAAUACCGCAUAAGACCACAGCACCGCAUGGUGCAGGGGUAAAAACUCCGGUGGUAUGAGAUGGAUCCGCGUCUGAUUAGCUAGUUGGUAAGGUAACGGCUUACCAAGGCAACGAUCAGUAGCCGACCUGAGAGGGUGACCGGCCACAUUGGGACUGAGACACGGCCCAA